AGAGUUUGAUCCUGGCUCAGAUUGAACGCUGGCGGCGUGCCUAAUACAUGCAAGUCGAGCGAGUCCCUUCGGGGGCUAGCGGCGGACGGGUGAGUAACACGUAGGCAACCUGCCUCUCAGACUGGGAUAACAUAGGGAAACUUAUGCUAAUACCGGAUAGGUUUUUGGACCGCAUGGUCCGAAAAGAAAAGGCGGCUUCG
This 200-nucleotide ribosomal RNA is filed under the name uncultured bacterium. RNAcentral's name for it is "partial 16S ribosomal RNA". It matches the Rfam family "Bacterial small subunit ribosomal RNA", at positions 8 to 213 of the family's 1533-position model. The record is from RNAcentral.